UACGUAGGGGGCAAGCGUUGUCCGGAUUCAUUGGGCGUAAAGAGCUCGUAGGCGGUUCAGUAAGUCGGGUGUGAAAUCUCCGUGCUCAACACGGAGCGGCCACCUGAUACUGCUGUGACUCGAGUCCGGUAGGGGAGUGUGGAAUUCCCGGUGUAGCGGUGAAAUGCGCAGAUAUCAGGAGGAACACCGGUGGCGAAGGCGGUUCUCUGGGAAUGUCCUGACGCUGAGACGCGAAGGUCAGGGGAGGCAAACGGG
This 255-nucleotide ribosomal RNA is filed under the name uncultured bacterium. RNAcentral's name for it is "partial 16S ribosomal RNA". It matches the Rfam family "Bacterial small subunit ribosomal RNA", at positions 524 to 776 of the family's 1533-position model. The record is from RNAcentral.